RNAcentral lists this ribosomal RNA (482 nucleotides) under uncultured bacterium. RNAcentral's name for it is "partial 16S ribosomal RNA". It matches the Rfam family "Bacterial small subunit ribosomal RNA", at positions 28 to 507 of the family's 1533-position model. The record is from RNAcentral.
GACGGACGCUGGCGGCGUGCUUAACACAUGCAAGUCGAACGAUGAAGAAGAGAAACGCGAACUUCGGUUCAAAUUUCACUUCGGAUUAGUGGCAGACGGGUGAGUAACGCGUGAGCAACCUACCUCUUACAAAGGGAUAGCCUCGGGAAACCGUGAUUAAUACCAUAUGACACAUUCAUAAGGCAUCUUAAGAAUGUUAAAGCUACGGCGGUAAGAGAUGGGCUCGCGUCCCAUUAGCUAGUUGGUGAGGUAACGGCCCACCAAGGCGACGAUGGGUAACCGGCCUGAGAGGGUGAACGGUCACAUUGGAACUGAGACACGGUCCAAACUCCUACGGGAGGCAGCAGUGGGGAAUAUUGCACAAUGGAGGGAACUCUGAUGCAGCGACGCCGCGUGAGCGAUGAAGGAAUUCGUUUCGUAAAGCUCUGUUCUAUGGGAAGAAAAGGACUGUACCAUAGGAGAAAGCCCCGGCUAAAUACGUG